AGGACGAACGCUGGCGGCGUGCCUAACACAUGCAAGUCGAACGCGCUCCAUUCGGUAGCAAUACUGAUGAAGAGCGAGUGGCGAACGGGUGAGUAGCACGUGAGCAACCUGCCCCGAAGACCGGGACAACACCGGGAAACCGGUGCUAAUACCGGAUAUCCCUAUCGGACCGCAUGAUCUGAUAAGGAAAUGGAUUCCGCUUCGGGAGGGGCUCGCGGCCUAUCAGCUAGUUGGUGAGGUAACGGCCAACCAAGGCAUCGACGGGUAGCUGGUCUGAGAGGACGAUCAGCCACACUGGGACUGAGACACGGCCCAGACUCCUACGGGAGGCAGCAGUGGGGAAUCUUGCGCAAUGGGCGAAAGCCUGACGCAGCAACGCCGCGUGGAGGACGAAGGCUUUCUGAGUUGUAAACUCCUUUCAGCAGGGACGAUAGUGACGGUACCUGCAGAAGAAGCACCGGCCAACUACGUGCCAGCAGCCGCGGUAAC
Molecule: ribosomal RNA, 489 nt
Filed under: uncultured bacterium
Lineage: Bacteria
Description: SSU rRNA
Rfam family: Bacterial small subunit ribosomal RNA
Source: RNAcentral